CGGAGGACGGUAGCAAUACCGAGCCGAGCGGCGAACGGGUGAGUAACGCGUAAGCAAUCUGCCCUGCAAUAGGGGAUAACCAUUCCAACGGAUGGCUAAUACCGUAUAUCGUGGCGCCUCGCCUGAGGUGUUGACGAAAGAUUUAUCGUUGCAGGAUGAGCUUGCGUCCGAUUAGCUAGUUGGCGGGGUAACGGCCCCACCAAGGCGACGAUCGGGUAUCCGGCCUGAGAGGGUGAUCGGACACAUUGGGACUGAGAUACGGCCCAGACUCCUACGGGAGGCAGCAGUAGGGAAUAUUGCGCAAUGGGGGCAACCCUGACGCAGCAACGCCACGUGUGGGAAGAAGCAUUUCGGUGUGUAAACCACUGUCGAGAGGGAAUAAACGGGGGCUUCGGCCCCUCUGAAUGUACCUCUAAAGGAAGCACCGGCAAACUUCGUGCCAGCAGCCGCGGUAAUACGAGGGGUGCAAGCGUUGUUCGGAAUCACUGGGCGUAAAGGGAGCGUAGGUGGAAUUGCAAGUGGACCGUGCAAUCCCGGGGCC
RNAcentral lists this ribosomal RNA (541 nucleotides) under uncultured bacterium. RNAcentral describes it as "bacterial SSU rRNA". It matches the Rfam family "Bacterial small subunit ribosomal RNA", at positions 67 to 609 of the family's 1533-position model. The record is from RNAcentral.